Molecule: ribosomal RNA, 117 nt
Filed under: Triticeae environmental sample
Lineage: Eukaryota; Viridiplantae; Streptophyta; Magnoliopsida; Poales; Poaceae
Description: partial 18S ribosomal RNA
Source: RNAcentral
UUGGACCUUGGGCCGGGUCGGCCGGUCCGCCUCACGGCGAGCACCGACCUACUCGACCCUUCGGCCGGCAUCGCGCUCCUAGCCUUAAUUGGCCGGGUCGUGUUUCCGGCAUCGUUA